RNAcentral lists this ribosomal RNA (202 nucleotides) under uncultured bacterium. Its description in RNAcentral is "partial 16S ribosomal RNA". It matches the Rfam family "Bacterial small subunit ribosomal RNA", at positions 1300 to 1500 of the family's 1533-position model. The record is from RNAcentral.
GCAGCCUGCAACUCGGCUGCAUGAAGCUGGAAUCGCUAGUAAUCGCGGAUCAGAAUGCCGCGGUGAAUACGUUCCCGGGUCUUGUACACACCGCCCGUCACACCAUGGGAGUCGGGAAUGCCCGAAGUCAGUGACCCAACCGGAAAGGGGGGAGCUGCCGAAGGCAGGCCUGGUAACUGGGGUGAAGUCGUAACAAGGUACC